RNAcentral lists this transfer RNA (67 nucleotides) under Pipistrellus kuhlii (Kuhl's pipistrelle). Its description in RNAcentral is "tRNA-Trp". Lineage: Eukaryota; Metazoa; Chordata; Mammalia; Chiroptera; Vespertilionidae. The record is from RNAcentral.
AGAAGUUUAGGUUACAUAGACCAAAGGCCUUCAAAGCCUUAAGAAAAUACUAUUUAUUUAACUUCUG